UACAGAGGUCUCAAGCGUUGUUCGGAUUCAUUGGGCGUAAAGGGUGCGUAGGCGGUUUGGUAAGUCGGAUGUGAAAUCUCCAGGCUCAACCUGGAGGGGUCAUUCGAUACUGCCAUGACUAGAGUUCGGUAGGGGUGUGUGGAAUUCCUGGUGGAGCGGUGAAAUGCGCAGAUAUCAGGAGGAACACCCGUAGCGAAGGCGGCACACUGGGCCGAUACUGACGCUGAGGAGCGAAAGCGUGGGGAGCGAACAGG
Molecule: ribosomal RNA, 254 nt
Filed under: uncultured bacterium
Lineage: Bacteria
Description: partial 16S ribosomal RNA
Rfam family: Bacterial small subunit ribosomal RNA
Source: RNAcentral